Small nucleolar RNA from Panicum hallii, 79 nucleotides. Lineage: Eukaryota; Viridiplantae; Streptophyta; Magnoliopsida; Poales; Poaceae. The record is from RefSeq and is a predicted model, not a curated record.
GAUGAGGCUGUGAUGACCAAAAAAUACCUACCUAUUUUCUGACUCCUGACGAGAAACCAAUAUCCUUCUGAGCCUUCCA